AUACUGAUGAAGAGUCCCAAACUAGGACGAAAUAGCUGUCCAGUAC
RNAcentral lists this non-coding RNA (46 nucleotides) under Trichobilharzia regenti. Lineage: Eukaryota; Metazoa; Platyhelminthes; Trematoda; Strigeidida; Schistosomatidae. The record is from RNAcentral.